This 247-nucleotide unclassified non-coding RNA is filed under the name Hevea brasiliensis (rubber tree). Lineage: Eukaryota; Viridiplantae; Streptophyta; Magnoliopsida; Malpighiales; Euphorbiaceae. The record is from RNAcentral.
GCAACCCUUCGUGUAAUCUAUCUUUGUCAUGCUCAGAGGAGGUGUGUUAUCAGUUUCUGUUGCCAACAGGAACUGUGGGAAAUCCAUGUGCUGGGAACUCAACAACAGUGACCAGGAAGCCAAUGUGUUUGGAUGUCAAUGGACCAUUUCCAUAUGGGAUAUACCAAUGGGCACUUCCUGUUGUUUCUAGCAGAUCCGUCACUGUUAAGAUUCUUUACCCCAUCUUUUGGGGAUUGAUGACCCUUAG